UCCAGCUUCUUCUGCACCAAAACCCAGCCCCGACACCCAAUUUCUUCCCAAAACCAUUUUCUCCCCCCACCGGCGUCGUGAUCUCAUUUCUCCACCGUGCGUCCAUCUUUCUUCCAAGGCCCUCAUUUUCCCCCUCAAAAUUCUUCCCCCAAAAUUCUCCCUACCCUGCGACCGAGGACCUGCUCCACAACCGCCGGAAGUUCGCUGCUCGUUGCUGCCCAAGACCCAUCUCGACGCAGCCGCUCGUUGCCGCCCACGCCGCCGUUCAUCGAAGCCCUCUCUCUUUGCUUCCUCCUCUGAAAGGUAAGCACCGAAUGGGAGGGAGGAAGAAUUUGGAUUCUUUCUCUAACAUUGGCCGAAUGGAUGUUGGUUGUUGCAAUUCUUGAGUACUACUAGUGAAAUGUGAUAUAUAAAGAAUAUGCGUUUCAGCCUCUUUGACCAAGUGAUUGAGCCUGUUGGUUUGUUUGUACGGAGGCUCUCUUAUUUUUAGCUAAUGCUUUUAGUAAAUGUUAAAAGAUUUUGAGUUUAUAGUUGGCUGAUUGUGGUGUAUAGUUUUUGUAAGUGUUGAACAAGUUGAAAUGAUGUAUAAUUUUUGCAAGUUUAAAUAGUUGGAAUGUUUUUGUAAGUUGGAACAAUUGGAAUGGUAUAUGGUUUUGGUAAGUUUGAACAGUUGGUAGCAACUUUUGUAAUUGUGAUUAAUGUCCAGAGAAGCAGACAAAUUAUUGAAGUCAUAUUCUUUGGACAAAUUAUUUAAGUCAUAUUACUUG
This is a non-coding RNA of Corylus avellana, 767 nucleotides long. NCBI's taxonomy places the organism in Eukaryota, Viridiplantae, Streptophyta, Magnoliopsida, Fagales, Betulaceae. The record is from RefSeq and is a predicted model, not a curated record.